GUGGGCGGCAGGCCCAGGUUCCAGCUGCGUCCUGGCUGUGUGAUCUUAGUCGCACCUCCGGGCCUUUGCACUGGCUGUUCCCGCUGCCUGAACCGCCCUCCCCGGGUCACCCCAUGGCCGGUGCCUUCUCCCGACUCCAACUGGAACGUCCGCCCCUAGGAGCGACCCCCCCACCACGACCUCCCAGAGUCCCCAUCACCCCAUCACGCCGCCCUCCUUUAUCUCCAUCGAAAGGCUUCUGUUUCAAAACAGCUCUAUUUACUUAACCUACUUGGCCCUGCCGGCGGCUGGGUCCCCAGCCUUGAGGCUGGCCUGGUACACAGUGGAGCUCAAUACGUGUUGUUUGAUGGAUGAAUCCGUGUGUCCCCGCCCCUCCUCUCUCCUCCCACGGGAUUUUGGGUGUCUGUCUACACAGAGCUGCAGGGCAAACCGAACUACUCGCCAUCUCGGUGUCCCAAAGCAAAAAAGCCCGGAGGGGGGUUGCUGGGCGCCCCUUGACCCGGUAACCCCCGCCCUCUGCUGUCACCCGUGCUACCUCCAGGUUGCCUGUCGCUGGGAGCCAGGGUCCGGGAGAAUGUCAUCCUAACUUCUUUGAAAAUGAGAAGAAAAAAAAGGGGACCCCGCGAAGCAAAAAGGGCCGAGGACCCGGGAAAUGAGUAGUAGUGCGGCUCUGUUCGCCCCGUGUGGCCGCG
This 692-nucleotide long non-coding RNA is filed under the name Equus asinus (donkey). RNAcentral's name for it is "lncRNA (ENSEASG00005032379.1)". Lineage: Eukaryota; Metazoa; Chordata; Mammalia; Perissodactyla; Equidae. The record is from RNAcentral.